GUUGACCUCGGAUCAGGUAGGGAUACCCGCUGAACUUAAGCAUAUCAAUAAGCG
This 54-nucleotide ribosomal RNA is filed under the name Myxotrichum chartarum. RNAcentral describes it as "partial 28S ribosomal RNA". RNAcentral also lists the same sequence under 9 other names. The record is from RNAcentral. Lineage: Eukaryota; Fungi; Ascomycota; Leotiomycetes; Myxotrichaceae.